Molecule: ribosomal RNA, 497 nt
Filed under: uncultured Streptococcus sp.
Lineage: Bacteria; Bacillati; Bacillota; Bacilli; Lactobacillales; Streptococcaceae
Description: bacterial SSU rRNA
Rfam family: Bacterial small subunit ribosomal RNA
Source: RNAcentral
GACGAACGCUGGCGGCGUGCCUAAUACAUGCAAGUAGAACGCUGAAGGAGGAGCUUGCUUCUCUGGAUGAGUUGCGAACGGGUGAGUAACGCGUAGGUAACCUGCCUGGUAGCGGGGGAUAACUACUGGAAACGAUAGCUAAUACCGCAUAAUAGCAGUUGUUGCAUGACAACUGUUUGAAAGGUGCAAUUGCACCACUACCAGAUGGACCUGCGUUGUAUUAGCUAGUUGGUGGGGUAACGGCUCACCAAGGCGACGAUACAUAGCCGACCUGAGAGGGUGACCGGCCACACUGGGACUGAGACACGGCUCAGACUCCUACGGGAGGCAGCAGUAGGGAAUCUUCGGCAAUGGACGGAAGUCUGACCGAGCAACGCCGCGUGAGUGAAGAAGGUUUUCGGAUCGUAAAGCUCUGUUGUAAGAGAAGAACGAGUGUGAGAGUGGAAAGUUCACACUGUGACGGUAUCUUACCAGAAAGGGACGGCUAACUACGUACC